GAUGAACGCUAGCGGCAGGCCUAAUACAUGCAAGGCGAGGGGUUGGCAACAACACCGUCGUACGGGUGCGUAACGCGUAUGCAACCUACCUAUCACAGGGGGAUAGCCUUUGGAAACAGGGAUUAAUACCGCAUAAAGCAGGGGCUUGGCAUCAAGAUACUGCUAAAGAUUUAUCGGUGAUAGAUGGGCAUGCGUCUGAUUAGUUAGAUGGUGAGGUAACGGCUCACCAUGACGAUGAUCAGUAGGGGCGUCAGAGCGUGGUCCCCCACACUGGCACUGAGAUACGGGCCAGACUCCUACGGGAGGCAGCAGUAGGGAAUAUUGGGCAAUGGAUGCAAGUCUGACCCAGCCAUGCCGCGUGGAGGAAGAAGGUCCUCUGGAUUGUAAAC
Molecule: ribosomal RNA, 389 nt
Filed under: uncultured bacterium
Lineage: Bacteria
Description: bacterial SSU rRNA
Rfam family: Bacterial small subunit ribosomal RNA
Source: RNAcentral